Poeciliopsis prolifica (blackstripe livebearer) is the source of this 858-nucleotide long non-coding RNA. RefSeq lists it as uncharacterized. NCBI's taxonomy places the organism in Eukaryota, Metazoa, Chordata, Actinopteri, Cyprinodontiformes, Poeciliidae. The record is from RefSeq and is a predicted model, not a curated record. The transcript is spliced from 3 exons.
UCCCCUCCUCCCCCCCAGGCAGCCUGACUCCUCCCCAGGUCUGUCCCUGUCCAGUCCAGAGCUGCUGUCAGAGCUGACCAGGAGACAGACAUGUCCUCUGAGACGCGUCCAGAAGCGCAGCGGACUGACCACCGUCUUCUCAGGACGAGGACGACAGGUCUCUGGCUCCUCCCCCUAGGCUGAGCCAGCCAAUAGGAGAGCUGCUGCUCCUCUCUCUACCUCCACAUCACAAUUUGAGCCAGAAAACUGAACCACUGAGUCCAUGGAGCGUCACACACAGAAGCCCCGCCCCAUUGUGACCACGUCCGGUUCAAGCCCCGCCCCCUGCGCUGCAAAUGUUUUAGUUGUAAAGAGAUAAAGAUCAUAAAGUUUAAUUUUGUUAUGAAAUACAUAUCUAAAAGUAAAGAAUACAGUAAAGUUCAGUGGAUGCUGCUCCAUCAGAACCGGGUCAUGUGACUGCUGUCAUGUUUCUACCAACCCAGAACCAAGAUGGUGGUUCAGCAGAACCUCAGGUCCGGUUCAGAACCCAACAGAACCAAACUGUUCAGUUAUGAUUUUAUUAACUCUGCCAUUCAUUCAUUAAUAAAUAGUUCAGCCAAUGAAUUAAUGAGCUGAUAAAUGAAACAAUAAGAAAGGAAAUAAUCACAAAAAGGGCAUAAAGGUAUUUUUUAAGGUUGUUCUCAGAUGUUAGAAUUUAUCUUUGCGAGGUCAUUGUGGUUCAUUUUCACUCUUUUCUACAGAGAUUUAUAACAUUUGGAGAAAAAGUAAACAUGCUGAACACUUCAAAUGAUAAAAAGACUUCUAACAAUGUAUGAGUUUUAAUGGAAAUUUGUUUAAUUGUGCAAUAAAUAUGUAAAA